This 315-nucleotide ribosomal RNA is filed under the name Triticum aestivum (bread wheat). Its description in RNAcentral is "partial small subunit ribosomal RNA". The record is from RNAcentral. Lineage: Eukaryota; Viridiplantae; Streptophyta; Magnoliopsida; Poales; Poaceae.
AUGGACGAGCUAAAGGCUAUGUGUCUGGCGAACUCAAGAUCUGGAUCUAUUUCUUGCGCUCUUUUUCUGGGUGCACUUCAAGGAUGUGCGAUGGUUGGUACAAGAUGUCACUCAUUCAUUUAUGUCGGCAUCCAACUGCGUGAUGGUGUGCCUAGGCACGAUCUCAAUCAAGAAAAGUUGGCACGGAUCUGGGACGCCCGCGUUCCUCCCAGAUCCAGCACCGCCGCGCCAUUUUCUCCCGGAUCUCGCGUUCAACCAGUUCAACGCCAUUGCCAGAUGGACCUCAAGGAUAAAAAGGCUGUGAUAAGAAAUUGA